RNAcentral lists this long non-coding RNA (1457 nucleotides) under Lactuca sativa (garden lettuce). Its description in RNAcentral is "long non-coding RNA (LSAT_LNC009158)". Lineage: Eukaryota; Viridiplantae; Streptophyta; Magnoliopsida; Asterales; Asteraceae. The record is from RNAcentral.
UUAAUUGUAUAAAAAAAAUCAAAAUCAUUGUCACCAUUAAUAUGAAUUCCCAUAAUCAAUUGUGUCAUUUUGAAAAAAAAAAACCACAUAAUUCUAUAUAAAAAUUUUGCAUAUAACCAUAGAUAGUUAAAAACAAAUAUAUUUAGAAUAUCCAUAUGCCUUUAACAUAUCAAAACAACACUUCAUUCCAAGUUUCCAUAAUAUACUUUGCCCCAUGUGGUUAAGCUUAAGUCAAAUGCUUCCAACUGAAACCACCAAUCUGAAUCGAAUGAGACUUGAUGUUUCAAGAUACAAUAGAUGUAAAUAACAAUGUUAGAAUCACUACGUGUAGCAUACAAAAGAAGAAUAAAUUCAAAGGGAAUUAGAUAGUAGGAAUUGAAACAAAUGAUUGAAUUCCCUAACACAUGAUUCAGUGGUGGAACUACAGCAAUUAGUAUUUGCUAAUUUCAUAUUUACAAUCAUACUAGUAUGAUAUAAUACAAAAAAGAAAAAUAUGAAAGUACAUCACAUCUUUAAAAGAAAAUCACAGACCUUGUCAUCUCAACCACCGUCCAUUUUCGUGAAGUGAAUAUGAAACCAAUGAGUUAUGAAAAAAAACAGGUCUUGCUGUUCUCAACCACCAUCCAUGUCUAAAUUAAUUUCAUCUUGAUAAGAAAAUAUCACUUAAUUCCAUAUUUAUAGAUCCAAUUAAAAUUAAUUUCAUGUUUACAAGAGAAUCUUACAUAGGCAUAUCAACAAACAUUUGAUAUGCAUUUAAAAUGCAAAGUUUUCAUAUGAAUCACUUUAAUGCAAAUGAACUGAAACUUAUUAAAGUUUGAUAACAAGAAAUAAAGAAACAAAGCAAAACAUGACCAUCAUGAUUCAACAGAAAGAAAGAAAUUAAUUGUUAAGGUUACUACAGGGACACAUAGUCGAUCAUCCAAUAUUAUUAUUCAAUUUAUUAAUGAAGUAGACUGAUUUAAGGAGUAGAUAAAUAAGACAAGUAUCAAAUGAGGAAUAUAAAGGUUCGAUCUUAGGAAGAAGAAGAGAGAUACGUGAAGAAGAUAAAGGUGUGAUUUGAGAGGGAAGCCUUACCAGUCCGCUUGCAGUGGUAUAAUUUUAACAUUGAAGACAUUAUCCUUGAGGGUUUUGAAGUCGAGGUAGUCCUAUAUGGUGAAGUAAGGUGGGAGAGAGAUUUGAGUGACACAAAUAGCACGAAACUAGAUAGUAGAGAAGUGGCAAUCCGCCUCUUGACACCUAUUGUACUUUUCUGAGAGUUGAGAUAGACGAGAUCCAAAAUCGAUUAGGUGGUGAAAGCUUACCGACCAGUGAGAGGGAUAAACUGGGUAGUGAGAGAGACACAUGAUCGAGAGUAGAGGUGUUGAUAUCAGUGAAGGUAGAGACAGCUAUACGAGCCCUACACCUAGUUUGAGGGGGGAAAUAAAUCAGAUUCUACAAGGAUGGGAAUUUAUUUUAAU